RNAcentral lists this unclassified non-coding RNA (21 nucleotides) under Chlamydomonas reinhardtii. RNAcentral describes it as "small RNA Cre_3214". Lineage: Eukaryota; Viridiplantae; Chlorophyta; Chlorophyceae; Chlamydomonadales; Chlamydomonadaceae. The record is from RNAcentral.
UGGAACUAGGGCUACGGCACC